GAUGAAGAACGUAGCGAAAUGCGAUACUUGGUGUGAAUUGCAGAAUCCCGUGAACCAUCGAGUCUUUGAACGCAAGUUGCGCCCGAAGCCGUCAGGCCGAGGGCACGCCUGCCUGGGCGUCACACGCCGUUGCCCCCCCCGCGCCCCGCACCCAACUCUUUGGGAGCGACCGCGGGGCGGGCUGAUGAUGGCCUCCCGUGCGCUCCGCCGCGCGGUUGGCCCAAAUACCGAGUCCCCGGCGACGUGCGCCACGACGAUCGGUGGUUGAGAGACCUCUGUCGCAAGUCGUGCGCGCCCGUCGCGUCACGCGGGCUCACAUAGCGCCUCGCGCCGCACCCGGUGCGGAGCUUUCAACGCGACCCCAGGUCAGGCGGGGUUACCCGCUGAAUUUAAGCAUAUCAAUAAGCGGAGGA
RNAcentral lists this unclassified non-coding RNA (413 nucleotides) under soil metagenome. RNAcentral describes it as "partial contains 5.8S ribosomal RNA, internal transcribed spacer 2, and large subunit ribosomal RNA". The stretch from base 1 to 122 matches the Rfam family "5.8S ribosomal RNA", at positions 35 to 154 of the family's 154-position model. The record is from RNAcentral.